Molecule: ribosomal RNA, 894 nt
Filed under: uncultured bacterium
Lineage: Bacteria
Description: bacterial SSU rRNA
Rfam family: Bacterial small subunit ribosomal RNA
Source: RNAcentral
AUUGAACGCUGGCGGCAUGCCUUACACAUGCAAGUCGAAACGGCGGCGCCGGGGCAACCUGGCGGCGAGUGGCGAACGGGUGAGUAAUAUAUCGGAACGUACCCUGGAGUGGGGGAUAACGUAGCGAAAGUUACGCUAAUACCGCAUACGAUCUAAGGAUGAAAGUGGGGGAUGCGCAAGCACCUCAUGCUCCUGGAGCGGCCGAUAUCUGAUUAGCUAGUUGGUGGGGUAAAGGCCUACCAAGGCAUCGAUCAGUAGCUGGUCUGAGAGGACGACCAGCCACACUGGAACUGAGACACGGUCCAGACUCCUACGGGAGGCAGCAGUGGGGAAUUUUGGACAAUGGGCGAAAGCCUGAUCCAGCAAUGCCGCGUGAGUGAAGAAGGCCUUCGGGUUGUAAAGCUCUUUUGUCAGGGAAGAAACGGUGAAGGCUAAUAUCCUUUGCUAAUGACGGUACCUGAAGAAUAAGCACCGGCUAACUACGUGCCAGCAGCCGCGGUAAUACGUAGGGUGCAAGCGUUAAUCGGAAUUACUGGGCGUAAAGCGUGCGCAGGCGGUUUUGUAAGUCUGUCGUGAAAUCCCCGGGCUCAACCUGGGAAUUGCGAUGGAGACUGCAAGGCUAGAAUCUGGCAGAGGGGGGUAGAAUUCCACGUGUAGCAGUGAAAUGCGUAGAGAUGUGGAGGAACACCGAUGGCGAAGGCAGCCCCCUGGGUCAAGAUUGACGCUCAUGCACGAAAGCGUGGGGAGCAAACAGGAUUAGAUACCCUGGUAGUCCACGCCCUAAACGAUGUCUACUAGUUGUCGGGUUUUAAUUAACUUGGUAACGCAGCUAACGCGUGAAGUAGACCGCCUGGGGAGUACGGUCGCAAGAUUAAAACUCAAAGGAAUUGACGG